AGCGAACGUUAGCGGCGGGCCUAACACAUGCAAGUCGAGCGAGAAAGGGGGUUCGCCCCCGAGUACAGCGGCGGACGGGUGAGUAACACGUAGGUAAUUUUCCCUUGAGCGGGGGACAACGUUCCGAAAGGGACGCUAAUACCGCAUAAGUUCUUGGGUGCUUCGGCACUGGAGAGGAAAGCUAGGCCGCAAGGUCUGGCACUCGAGGAGAAGCCUGCGUCGCAUCAGCUAGUUGGUGGGGUAAUGGCCUACCAAGGCAAAGACGCGUAGCUGGUCUGAGAGGAUGAUCAGCCACACUGGGACUGAGACACGGCCCAGACUCCUACGGGAGGCAGCAGUGGGGGAAUAUUGGGCAAUGGGCGAAAGCCUGAUCCAGCAAUGCCGCGUGAGUGAUGAAGGCCUUAGGGUUGUAAAGCUCUUUACCCGGGAUGAUAAUGACAGUACCGGGAGAAUAAG
This 456-nucleotide ribosomal RNA is filed under the name uncultured bacterium. RNAcentral's name for it is "bacterial SSU rRNA". It matches the Rfam family "Bacterial small subunit ribosomal RNA", at positions 29 to 490 of the family's 1533-position model. The record is from RNAcentral.